CUGUUUCCCCGGCUUCUGGGGGAACAGGAGAAAAAAAGGCCAGUUACCUUCAGCUGGACUGCUAAUCAGAUUCUUGCUGAAGUGAAAACAAGGUAUGGGAAAGCUGGGUUUACCUCUUGAUUUUGAGGCAGAUUCCAGGCUUGGCCAGCCCAGCAUCUGAUUAACUUUCUUUCCCUCACUGGAAAGGGGACCUUUGGAGUUCUCUACCUAAACAAGGCCUUUCUUUAUUCCUCACUGAGGGCUUUUCCUGUACUCUACCCCUCUGUGUGAGAUAGGCCACGCAGCUGCUAUGUCAUUUCACAAAUAAGGACGUGCUGAGAGAAAAACCUCAUUUCUCGGCACCCUAUCACUCGCCUGUGUUUGCACACAGAUCUGGCUUCCUGCCUGCUGCUCAAAGUGUUUCAUGGUCUUUUCCUCACAUCAGAAUGACUCCAAUGCCAACCCAAGGUACCCAGAGCUCUGCACAACCUGCCCAACCCUAACUUCACCUUCUCCCUCUCCACUGGCCUUCCACAAACACACCACCCACUCCUACCUCAGGGUCUUUGCACAUCCCUCUGCUGGGAAUGCCUUCUCCAGACCCUGGCAUGGGUCACUCCACCCAUCAGUGGGUUCAAUGUCAUCUCCUCAGGAGUGCUUCUGUGGCCUUUCCCAUCACACCCCACCCCAGCUCUCCAUCCUCUUGCCUGCAGCACCUGUCCGUUCUGGCCCCUGCAUCAUGCUAUUGCAGCUGGUGCUUGCUGAGUGCUAUUGGUCCACUUUCUGCUAAUGAUCAUGCUGGCAGGAGAUGUCCAGGCCUGAGACUCUCUGAGGGCUAUGUUCCCAUGAUUAGCCCAGCAUGGGGAGGACCUGCGACGUUCAGAGCCAUACCUUUGGUCAUUUCUGCUUCUUCCAACAGAACCUGGGAGAUGUAGUGAAUGCUCCUCAGAUAUUCUGUAUAUGCCUCCUGUGCCCAGGGAAAAGAAAUGGCAGGGAUCAGGGCUACGGAGGUGAAUGAGUCCAUCGCACUUGCCUGGUGCCCCUCCAGGAAAAUGCAAUGCCUGGACCCACAGAAACAGCAGUGCCUGCUUAUCAUGAGAUACACCAGAGACAUCUAGUCUGCUGUAGUUGGCUGGUAAUUGUGCAGUAGUCUAAUGAUAGUAUCCUGGCUCUCUAAGACUUGAAGGAAAAGAUGUCAGCACCUGCAAACAACGCCAAAGCACAUCUUCCUACAAGAUCUGCAGUAGGCACUGGGUGCCGAGACCAGCUGGACACCAGUCCUCCUUUCACUGCGCUUCUUUCUGGCAGAGUAGGGCUGGGAGCAGCCUCAGCAGUUGCUCUCACUUUUUACGCUCUAUAAUUUUUCUUCCUGUGUCAUGACUCAGGAGCCAUUCAUUCAGUGGCUUUAAAUAAGUAUUUCCUGUGAUGUUAAAGAGGGAUGAUAUUGCAAAUCUUAGAAUUACUUCCUGCCUUAGGUUUUGGAAAAUCCCUCUCCUGAUCCUCAGGGUGAGUACCCCUCAGCACACAGGAGUCAGAGGACUAGUGCUGAACACUCUCUGCUGCUCAGGACAUUAAGAACCAUGGCAUGAUGGUUUUUUGUCCUUUUUUUGGCAUCCCAGUUAUCAAGCCACCCGUCUUAAGUCUACUCAGAGGGGAGAACACUGAGGCCCGGAGAGGGCAGUGAGCUGUCCAAGGUCGCAGAGCAGGGCAAGACCUCAGCACCGCCGGGUCCAGCCUUCUUACCCCAAGGUGGGCGUGGGCGCCCCCAAGUGCCGAAGCUCGGGCAGGGCCGAGAGCAACCUCGCCGCCUGGCCGGCUCUGCCCUCGCCCACCCGGCUUGCAGCAGGUUGGGGUCCCUCCCGGCCGUCGCCGCGACCGCCUCCCGCCCCCGCCCGGGGGGCUAACCUCCGCCGGACCCCGCCUCCCCUUGUCUCACCCGGGGUCGGUUGCCAGUGUCCAGCUCGAUGGCCCCGUUAGCCAGCUUCAUAGCGCUCUGCAGCGGCUUCACCGCGCCAUCCCCGGCCGCAGCGGCCAUGGUGCGGGGCGGGGGAGGCAGUGGUGGCGGUCAAGGGGCGGGGCGGGCGGUCGGGAGCCCGGAACUCUGCCUGCGCGGGCAGUGGAACGCCGGAGCGACGGACCGCCGGACGGGGCGGUCCCUGCUGGAAGCACUUCCGUCGUCCUGCUCCGCCGCAGGAGCAAGACUCCCGCGGCAGAAUGGGCCAAAGCGAGAGUGGCGGAACCAUGGCCUGGUAAUCCGAGGCCAGGCCCUGC
Long non-coding RNA from Loxodonta africana (African savanna elephant), 2250 nucleotides. RefSeq lists it as uncharacterized. The record is from RefSeq and is a predicted model, not a curated record. The transcript has 2 exons. NCBI's taxonomy places the organism in Eukaryota, Metazoa, Chordata, Mammalia, Proboscidea, Elephantidae.